CGAGCCCUUUUUUCGGGGGCUCGGUAUUGGGAGAGGAGUGCACCCGCUUGCCCUCCCUCCCGAAAUCCAAUGGCGGAAAGCCCCACGUGCCCCGGCGUAGUAAGUUUUCUUUCGCUCGGAACGCGAGGCGAUCCUGCCGCGAACCCCCCAAUUAUUUCCAGGUUGACCUCGGAUCAGGUAGGGAUACCCGCUGAACUUAA
This 200-nucleotide unclassified non-coding RNA is filed under the name soil metagenome. RNAcentral describes it as "partial contains internal transcribed spacer 2 and large subunit ribosomal RNA". The record is from RNAcentral.